Molecule: ribosomal RNA, 490 nt
Filed under: uncultured bacterium
Lineage: Bacteria
Description: partial 16S ribosomal RNA
Rfam family: Bacterial small subunit ribosomal RNA
Source: RNAcentral
GAUGAACGCUGGCUACAGGCUUAACACAUGCAAGUCGAGGGGAAACGACGGGGAAGCUUGCUUCCCCGGGCGUCGACCGGCGCACGGGUGAGUAACGCGUAUCCAACCUGCCUCUGACUGAGGGAUAACCCGUCGAAAGUCGGCCUAAUACCUCAUGGCAUCGUCUGCGGGCAUCCAACGACGAUUAAAGAUUUCAUCGGUCAGAGAUGGGGAUGCGUCUGAUUAGCUUGUUGGCGGGGUAACGGCCCACCAAGGCGACGAUCAGUAGGGGUUCUGAGAGGAAGGUCCCCAACAUUGGAACGGAGACACGGUCCAAACUCCUACGGGAGGAAGCAGUGAGGAAGAUUGGUAAAUGGGCGAGAGCCUGAACCAGCCAAGUAGCGUGAAGGAUGACGGCCCUUUGGGUUGUAAACUGCUUUUAUGCGGGGAUAAAGUGAGGGACGUGUCCUUCAUGGCAGGAACCGAAUGAAUAGGACCGGCUAAUUCCGUG